This is a non-coding RNA of Triticum aestivum (bread wheat), 115 nucleotides long. NCBI's taxonomy places the organism in Eukaryota, Viridiplantae, Streptophyta, Magnoliopsida, Poales, Poaceae. The record is from Rfam.
CACGUACUUCCUCCGUUCCGAAUUACUCGUCACAGAAAUGAAUGUAUCUAGAUGUAUUUUAGUUCUAGACACAUCCAUUUCUACGACGAAUAAUUUGAAACGGAGAGAGUACUUU